Molecule: ribosomal RNA, 254 nt
Filed under: uncultured bacterium
Lineage: Bacteria
Description: partial 16S ribosomal RNA
Rfam family: Bacterial small subunit ribosomal RNA
Source: RNAcentral
AACGUAGGACACAAGCGUUAUCCGGAGUUACUGGGCGUAAAGGGCGCGUAGGCGGCCACUGCAAGUCGGUUGUGAAAUCUCCGGGCUUAACCCGGAAAGGUCAAUCGAUACUGCAGGGCUAGAGUGCGGUAGGGGAGAUUGGAAUUCCUGGUGUAGCGGUGGAAUGCGCAGAUAUCAGGAGGAACACCAAUGGCGAAGGCAGAUCUCUGGGCCGUAACUGACGCUGAGGAGCGAAAGCAUGGGGAGCGAACAGG